RNAcentral lists this long non-coding RNA (325 nucleotides) under Carica papaya (papaya). RNAcentral describes it as "long non-coding RNA (CPAP_LNC002696)". The record is from RNAcentral. Lineage: Eukaryota; Viridiplantae; Streptophyta; Magnoliopsida; Brassicales; Caricaceae.
AGGAGAAUGGCCAGGCGAAUGAAUUUCCAGGUGAUAAGAUCAGAAAUAUGAUGUUCUAGCUCUGUUAGUUCAGUACGACUCAUGUGAUAUGCGGGCUUCGGGAUUGGCUGGGUUCCAGAUAAUAAUUGAAUCAAGAACUCUACCUCACGUGGGGGCGGUAGACCAGAAAGUUCAAUGGAAAAGACAUCAGAAAAAUUGCAAACAAUUGGUAUAGAAUACACGUCAGGAUCAACAUCCAUAUUCAAGUUUAUUCAAUUAUUAGAUAAAGGAUAACAAUGACUUUUAUUUCUUUUUUGGGGAUCGUAAAGUUACAAUUAUAUUUUCA